UAGAACCUACGGGAGAGUGUAUAAUCACAUUUGUUAUUUAAAGUAAAUAAACUGAACCUCACAUUAAAAGCUUUAACCCAGCCGUUGCAAUCACAAAAGGGCAAAGAGUGGCUUUAACAAACAUUACCUCGGGCACAGAAUGUGAUAGAGUGUAUUACUAGUUCACAACUUUUUGUUCCCUUCCAUCCUGGCAACAUUUCCUGUAGGCAUAGUGUAUUUCUCUACAGCGGUGACUCUGCACUUGACCACGCGACUUUCUUUGGCCAAGGGAGCAGAAGCUUUAAGGAUCUCAGUGAGUUCCAGGACCUUGAAAAGAAGCACUUGGAAAUCAAGAUGGCUAUGAUUCUUCAUCAUUGUGGCCGCCAAGCGAGACAUCCCAAAGCAAAGUGGUCGAAAGUCCAAUAUGUCUUCAUGGUCAUGCCUAAUAAAAGGACUUAUUUUACCUGCGACCCUCAGA
This is a long non-coding RNA of Felis catus (domestic cat), 457 nucleotides long. RefSeq lists it as uncharacterized. The transcript has 2 exons. NCBI's taxonomy places the organism in Eukaryota, Metazoa, Chordata, Mammalia, Carnivora, Felidae. The record is from RefSeq and is a predicted model, not a curated record.